AUGCUCAUUUUGGUAUCACAUAUACUAAAAUUGGAACGAUACAGAGAAGAUUAGCAUGGUCCCUGCACAAGGAUAACACACAAAUUCAUGAAGGGUUCCAUUUUUAA
This is a small nuclear RNA of Erinaceus europaeus (western European hedgehog), 107 nucleotides long. NCBI's taxonomy places the organism in Eukaryota, Metazoa, Chordata, Mammalia, Eulipotyphla, Erinaceidae. The record is from Ensembl.